This 1049-nucleotide ribosomal RNA is filed under the name Salmonella enterica. RNAcentral's name for it is "partial 23S ribosomal RNA". It matches the Rfam family "Bacterial large subunit ribosomal RNA", at positions 711 to 1757 of the family's 2925-position model. Lineage: Bacteria; Pseudomonadati; Pseudomonadota; Gammaproteobacteria; Enterobacterales; Enterobacteriaceae. RNAcentral also lists the same sequence under 1 other name. The record is from RNAcentral.
AGACCCGAAACCCGGUGAUCUAGCCAUGGGCAGGUUGAAGGUUGGGUAACACUAACUGGAGGACCGAACCGACUAAUGUUGAAAAAUUAGCGGAUGACCUGUGGCUGGGGGUGAAAGGCCAAUCAAACCGGGAGAUAGCUGGUUCUCCCCGAAAGCUAUUUAGGUAGCGCCUCGUGAAUUCAUCUCCGGGGGUAGAGCACUGUUUCGGCUAGGGGGCCAUCCCGGCUUACCAACCCGAUGCAAACUGCGAAUACCGGAGAAUGUUAUCACGGGAGACACACGGCGGGUGCUAACGUCCGUCGUGAAGAGGGAAACAACCCAGACCGCCAGCUAAGGUCCCAAAGUCAUGGUUAAGUGGGAAACGAUGUGGGAAGGCCCAGACAGCCAGGAUGUUGGCUUAGAAGCAGCCAUCAUUUAAAGAAAGCGUAAUAGCUCACUGGUCGAGUCGGCCUGCGCGGAAGAUGUAACGGGGCUAAACCAUGCACCGAAGCUGCGGCAGCGACGCUUAUGCGUUGUUGGGUAGGGGAGCGUUCUGUAAGCCUGUGAAGGUGGCCUGUGAGGGUUGCUGGAGGUAUCAGAAGUGCGAAUGCUGACAUAAGUAACGAUAAAGCGGGUGAAAAGCCCGCUCGCCGGAAGACCAAGGGUUCCUGUCCAACGUUAAUCGGGGCAGGGUGAGUCGACCCCUAAGGCGAGGCCGAAAGGCGUAGUCGAUGGGAAACAGGUUAAUAUUCCUGUACUUGGUGUUACUGCGAAGGGGGGACGGAGAAGGCUAUGUUGGCCGGGCGACGGUUGUCCCGGUUUAAGCGUGUAGGUGUGUGUUCCAGGUAAAUCCGGUUCACUUUAACACUGAGGCGUGAUGACGAGGCACUACGGUGCUGAAGCAACAAAUGCCCUGCUUCCAGGAAAAGCCUCUAAGCAUCAGGUAACAUCAAAUCGUACCCCAAACCGACACAGGUGGUCAGGUAGAGAAUACCAAGGCGCUUGAGAGAACUCGGGUGAAGGAACUAGGCAAAAUGGUGCCGUAACUUCGGGAGAAGGCACGCUGACAC